CGGAGCCGCAGCGAAAGCGAGUCUGAAUAGGGCGUUUAGUACGUGGUCGUAGACCCGAAACCAGGUGAUCUACCCAUGUCCAGGGUGAAGUUCAGGUAACACUGAAUGGAGGCCCGAACCCACGCACGUUGAAAAGUGCGGGGAUGAGGUGUGGGUAGCGGAGAAAUUCCAAUCGAACCUGGAGAUAGCUGGUUCUCCCCGAAAUAGCUUUAGGGCUAGCCUUAAGUGUAAGAGUCUUGGAGGUAGAGCACUGAUUGAACUAGGGGUCCUCAUCGGAUUACCGAAUUCAGUCAAACUCCGAAUGCCAAUGACUUAUCCUUAGGAGUCAGACUGCGAGUGAUAAGAUCCGUAGUCAAGAGGGAAACAGCCCAGAUCGCCAGCUAAGGUCCCAAAGUGUGUAUUAAGUGGAAAAGGAUGUGGAGUUGCUUAGACAACUAGGAUGUUGGCUUAGAAGCAGCCACCAUUUAAAGAGUGCGUAAUAGCUCACUAGUCGAGUGACUCUGCGCCGAAAAUGUACCGGGGCUAAAUACACCACCGAAGCUGCGAAUUGAUACCAAUGGUAUCAGUGGUAGGGGAGCGUUCUAAGUGCAGUGAAGUCAGACCGGAAGGACUGGUGGAGCGCUUAGAAGUGAGAAUGCCGGUAUGAGUAGCGAAAGACGGGUGAGAAUCCCGUCCACCGAAUGCCUAAGGUUUCCUGAGGAAGGCUCGUCCGCUCAGGGUUAGUCAGGACCUAAGCCGAGGCCGACAGGCGUAGGCGAUGGACAACAGGUUGAUAUUCCUGUACCACCUCUUUAUCGUUUGAGCAAUGGAGGGACGCAGAAGGAUAGAAGAAGCGUGCGAUUGGUUGUGCACGUCCAAGCAGUUAGGCUGAUAAGUAGGCAAAUCCGCUUAUCGUGAAGGCUGAGCUGUGAUGGGGAAGCUCCUUAUGGAGCGAAGUCUUUGAUUCCCCGCUGCCAAGAAAAGCUUCUAGCGAGAUAAAAGGUGCCUGUACCGCAAACCGACACAGGUAGGCGAGGAGAGAAUCCUAAGGUGUGCGAGAGAACUCUGGUUAAGGAACUCGGCAAAAUGACCCCGUAACUUCGGGAGAAGGGGUGCUUUCUUAACGGAAAGCCGCAGUGAAUAGGCCCAAGCGACUGUUUAGCAAAAACACAGGUCUCUGCGAAGCCGUAAGGCGAAGUAUAGGGGCUGACACCUGCCCGGUGCUGGAAGGUUAAGGAGAGGGGUUAGCGUAAGCGAAGCUCUGAACUGAAGCCCCAGUAAACGGCGGCCGUAACUAUAACGGUCCUAAGGUAGCGAAAUUCCUUGUCGGGUAAGUUCCGACCCGCACGAAAGGUGUAACGAUUUGGGCACUGUCUCAACCAGAGACUCGGUGAAAUUAUAGUACCUGUGAAGAUGCAGGUUACCCGCGACAGGACGGAAAGACCCCGUGGAGCUUUACUGUAGCCUGAUAUUGAAUUUUGGUACAGUUUGUACAGGAUAGGCGGGAGCCAUUGAAACCGGAGCGCUAGCUUCGGUGGAGGCGCUGGUGGGAUACCGCCCUGACUGUAUUGAAAUUCUAACCUACGGGUCUUAUCGACCCGGGAGACAGUGUCAGGUGGGCAGUUUGACUGGGGCGGUCGCCUCCUAAAGUGUAACGGAGGCGCCCAAAGGUUCCCUCAGAAUGGUUGGAAAUCAUUCGUAGAGUGCAAAGGCAUAAGGGAGCUUGACUGCGAGACCUACAAGUCGAGCAGGGACGAAAGUCGGGCUUAGUGAUCCGGUGGUUCCGCAUGGAAGGGCCAUCGCUCAACGGAUAAAAGCUACCCCGGGGAUAACAGGCUUAUCUCCCCCAAGAGUCCACAUCGACGGGGAGGUUUGGCACCUCGAUGUCGGCUCAUCGCAUCCUGGGGCUGUAGUCGGUCCCAAGGGUUGGGCUGUUCGCCCAUUAAAGCGGUACGCGAGCUGGGUUCAGAACGUCGUGAGACAGUUCGGUCCCUAUCCGUCGUGGGCGUAGGAAAUUUGAGAGGAGCUGUCCUUAGUACGAGAGGACCGGGAUGGACGCACCGCUGGUGUACCAGUUGUUCUGCCAAGGGCAUAGCUGGGUAGCUAUGUGCGGAAGGGAUAAGUGCUGAAAGCAUCUAAGCAUGAAGCCCCCCUCAAGAUGAGAUUUCCCAUAGCGUAAGCUAGUAAGAUCCCUGAAAGAUGAUCAGGUUGAUAGGUUCGAGGUGGAAGCGUGGUGACAUGUGGAGCUGACGAAUACUAAUAGAUCGAGGACUUAACCAU
Molecule: ribosomal RNA, 2259 nt
Filed under: Bacillus cereus B5-2
Lineage: Bacteria; Bacillati; Bacillota; Bacilli; Caryophanales; Bacillaceae
Description: bacterial LSU rRNA
Rfam family: Bacterial large subunit ribosomal RNA
Source: RNAcentral